This is a long non-coding RNA of Hypanus sabinus (Atlantic stingray), 1169 nucleotides long. RefSeq lists it as uncharacterized. The record is from RefSeq and is a predicted model, not a curated record. The transcript has 6 exons. Lineage: Eukaryota; Metazoa; Chordata; Chondrichthyes; Myliobatiformes; Dasyatidae.
CAUUUCCCAACCUCAAAACUCUAAAAGACCUUGGAUUUAAACCAAGGAUUUUCUUAACCCUUUGCUUUCCUGUUGUUUCUCUGUCCAACAGAACCUCCAGGGCAGCCUGCUGCCUUUACUCUUAAUCAGAAUGGCCUGGAGGAAGGCUCGCCUCUCAUGGCUCGACGACUUCUGAUCGAACAUGCCAGCCUGGAUGACCUUCUGGUCGACGUUGAGCUUGUACUUGGCUGCUGCAAGGAUCUUCUCCUCCACGCUGUUCACAGUGCAGAGUCGCAGCACGCGCACUUCAUUCUGCUGCCCGAUUCGGGGAAGCCAUGGAGAGCAUCGUAACCAGCUGCGCCAACGUGUGGCAUGGAGGUUCCAAUGCACAGGAUCACGAAGGGCUGCAAAGGGUUCCAGUUCCAUCACAAUCCUCCCACCAUUGAGGAUAUCUUCAAAAGCUGGCAUCCAUCGCCAAGGAACCUCACCGUCUGAGAUGUCCAUUCUUCACAUUACUACCAUCAAGGAGGAGCUACAGCAGGCCGAAGACAACAUUUUAGGAGCAGUUUCAUCCUCUCCACUAUCAGAAAUGGACCAGCAAGUGGUCAAUUCAAGGACAACUGGAGGUGGACAAUAAAUGUGUGCUAUGUCAACGAUGUUCACACCUUGAAAUAAUAAGCAUCCAGCUGUCCGGCCUUUGGCGCCUCGGCCCCCGACAAGAUUCGGCCACUCUCCACGUGGAUCACCUUCACUGGCAGGUCACUCAUCUGGCUGGUCUCAUCCAGGAGCUGAGGGCAAGGGACAUUUCCCAAUGUACGAUAGAGAGCAUACUGACUGGAUGUAUCACCACUUGAAAUGGUGACGCUACAGCAUAGGACCAGAAAAAUCUGCAGACGGUUGUAGACUCAGCUAUCACGGGCAAGACCCUUCACACCAUCAAGGGUAUCUUCAAAAGGCAAUGCCUCAAGAAUGCCGCAUCCUCACCAUCUUUGACACAUCCGGUUCUCAUUAUUACCAUCAGAGAGGAGGUACAGGAGCCUGAAGACAGAAACAGCAUCUUCCCCUCUGCCAACAGAUUUCUGAAUGCUGCAUGAACAUUACCUCACCAUCUUGCUCUCCUUUUGCUCUACGUACUUUAUAAUUUUAUUAUUGUAAUUUAUAAUAUAUUUUAUGUAUUGCACUGUACUUCU